AACGAACGCUGGCGGCAUGCCUAACACAUGCAAGUCGAACGAGACCUUCGGGUCUAGUGGCGCACGGGUGCGUAACGCGUGGUAAUCUGCCCUUCGGUUGGGAAUAACUGAGAGAAAUUUCAGCUAAUACCUUAUAAUGUCUUCGGACCAAAGAUUUAUCGCCGAGGGAUGAGCCCGCGUAGGAUUAGGUAGUUGGUGGUGUAAUGGCCUACCAAGCCGACGAUCCUUAGCUGGUAUGAGAGGAUGAUCAGCCACAAUGGGACUGAGACACGGCCCAGACUCCUACGGGAGGCAGGAGUGGGGAAUAUUGGACAAUGGGCGAAAGCGUGAUACAGCAAUGCCGCGUGAGUGAUGCAGGCCUUAGGGUUGUAAAGCUCUUUUACCCGGGAUGAUAAUGACAGUACCGGGAGAAUAAGCACCGGCUAACUCCGUG
Molecule: ribosomal RNA, 433 nt
Filed under: uncultured bacterium
Lineage: Bacteria
Description: partial 16S ribosomal RNA
Rfam family: Bacterial small subunit ribosomal RNA
Source: RNAcentral